GCCCCCCCCCCCCCACACACACACACACACAAACAAAGAGGCGUUAGGCUGAGACGCUGAAAGUCCGGAUUUAAAGUGCAGAAAAUUAAGCCAUUGAAUCUGCCUGUCCAUGACGUAGUAAGACACACUAUGAGCCAGUAUGAUCCGACCAGACCUUACAUCAGCAUUGAGGAGUUGUCGGAGAAGAAAGAGGCUGAUUGAAGCGGGACAGAUGACAUGGAUCCAUCCUUCCACAGCCAGGAGUGCACCGACCUGUGUGCAACACUUCAUAUAAGACUGGAAGCUAAACUGGAUCUCACAGCUACACACCACAGACGUCUACACACUGGAGAAGAUUCAGACAGAGUCCCACAAAGAAGUCAUGACCCAGAGGCUGCAGAGACACAUUUCAAGCCUCACCUGAGUUUUUGUACAAUAUAUUUGCUGUAUGUAAAUAAAGCUUUGACUCCA
Limanda limanda (common dab) is the source of this 450-nucleotide long non-coding RNA. RefSeq lists it as uncharacterized. The record is from RefSeq and is a predicted model, not a curated record. NCBI's taxonomy places the organism in Eukaryota, Metazoa, Chordata, Actinopteri, Pleuronectiformes, Pleuronectidae. The transcript has 3 exons.